ACAAGCCCUUAUAGGCCUUCUUACGCUCAGUAUUUUCUUAAUUACGAUAAUUUGAAUUUGUGACCUUUGCAUAGUUUUUAUGGAAAAAUCGGUCAAUAUUUACAUGUAACGUCAAGGUCGAUAUUGUUGCGUCUUACUCGAAACAACAAAUUCUUUUAUAAGAUUUUUUUGACCAUUCAAAUAUAUUUUUUACUGAAAUAAAUGGAUAAUACAAAAAAAAAAAAAAUAGAUUUCAAAAAACAAAUAUAUACUUUCAUUCUACCUUUUGUGAAGUGAAUGUUGAUUUAUUCAUCUACAUGUAAUGAUGUAUAUUUCAUGAAGUGAUAUACAAUAUUGAUAAAAAUUGUAGAUUUCCAAAACGUCGAUCUUUACUAAAAAAAAAAUCAAUCAGAUUUUUAAUAUUGUUGUAUCUUGUUAUACUGUAUACUUAUUAAUUUGCAAUUUAAUUAGAUCUAUAUUUAACAAUACAAAAACUCGCAUUUAUAAAUAAAUACGACUCAUCACUGUAUGAGUUGAUACGAAUUGAAAUAAACACGUGUUUCCGCUUUGGUGUAAACAUGAUGGCGAUCCGAAAUCUGAACGUCAAUUUUCACUAUUAUUAAUAUUAUUUCACGACGAAGAUCAUCACAUCAAUGAAUCAAAUAAUACGGACAUACCUUUGGUAUUAGCAGGGUGCUUUCAGCAUAUGCAACUGUACAAUACUUUCAUCUGUGAAUACCCACUUUCUAAACCCACCAUGAACUACCAGCGGAAGGUCAAUUAAUAUGUAAGGACACCAAUGAACAGACACUUUCCAAUUAUCCUACAUCAUAUACAUGGGUGGUCAAACUCACUGGAUGGUUUAUCAACACUCCCAUGAUCACGAACAGCCUUGCGCCAGGAAUUUUGCCCUGAAGUAACAUUGGAGUCUAUUGUCUCCUUUCUUUUUACAACCCUGGCAGCCAUGCAGGAUAGAAGCUGAUCACUUGUACUUGACAGCAAAUAAUAAUGUCUUGGACAAGUCAAAGAAUUUCCUCCGGUCUUACAGAGAAAUACAGUUGAUAAAAGAAUGGUGGACACAAAGUAAAAGUGCUCUUCAACAUUUUGUUGAAGAUUUCAGUCUGAUUUGGAAUUCAUCUUGCAAUAUUUCUGUAUUUGUAUAUUUGGAUAUAAGCGUCAAAUUUUCGACUUAUUGACUAAACAGUUUUGCAUUAAAUAUUGCCAAUGCUAUCUAUUACUAUUAUUUCCCUCCAAGAUAACAUGUCAAGUCUUUAUUGUACCCCUUAAGCUCUGUUAUACCAGAAAAAUCUUGUAAUGAAAUCAUUUAGUUUUUUUUUCUUGUUAAAUUAAAUCCAUGAAAAUAAGGAUUAUCUUUAAUGUCAU
This is a long non-coding RNA of Saccostrea cuccullata (small rock oyster), 1362 nucleotides long. RefSeq lists it as uncharacterized. The transcript is spliced from 4 exons. The record is from RefSeq and is a predicted model, not a curated record. NCBI's taxonomy places the organism in Eukaryota, Metazoa, Mollusca, Bivalvia, Ostreida, Ostreidae.